RNAcentral lists this unclassified non-coding RNA (425 nucleotides) under uncultured fungus. Its description in RNAcentral is "partial contains ITS1, 5.8S rRNA and ITS2". The record is from RNAcentral. Lineage: Eukaryota; Fungi.
AACGCAAGUUGCGGUUUUCUUUCGAAAACCAUGUUUGCCUGAGGGUUGUUUCACACAAAUUGAGGCGUGUCAUUUCCCAUAAAAAAGAGAUGACUCCCUUUAAAUGAUUUUGAAUUUCCCCUCCCGAUCUUUUAUGACUUGAAGAAAAGUUAAUUUUUUUUCAAGAAACGAAAUCUUUCCAUUUUUCUCUUUUAUUAAAGCAAAAAAAAAAAAAGAAAGUUAGGUUUUUUUUCUUCUUGGCAUUCUUUUCUCUCGAAAGAGGGAUUUGCGAGUCAGGGAAAAGAGAAAUCUUGCUUGCUUAAAAACUUUUUUUUUUCUUUUUCCUUGGAAACAAAGAGAAGGAGCUCAUUGAGUACCUUCCAAAAAGAAAAAAAACUAAUUAAUAACGCAACCUCAGAUCAAGCAAGACUACCCGCUGAACCUAA